UGUCCUGGGUAGUGGGCAAAGGGGCGCCUCAUUAGUGGCGUGGCUCUUACGUCAGUCAGGGGCAGAGCAGGUGGUGGGCCUUUGUUCAUCCCAGCCUGAUGCCAGGCUUGGUGGCCAAAGCAGGCUUAUGCCUAGGACACCUUA
Molecule: small nucleolar RNA, 144 nt
Organism: Mus pahari (shrew mouse)
Lineage: Eukaryota; Metazoa; Chordata; Mammalia; Rodentia; Muridae
Product: small nucleolar RNA SNORA48
Exons: 1
Source: RefSeq, a predicted model, not a curated record